RNAcentral lists this ribosomal RNA (884 nucleotides) under uncultured bacterium. Its description in RNAcentral is "bacterial SSU rRNA". It matches the Rfam family "Bacterial small subunit ribosomal RNA", at positions 8 to 916 of the family's 1533-position model. The record is from RNAcentral.
AGAGUUUGAUCAUGGCUCAGGACGAACGCUGGCGGCGUGCCUAACACAUGCAAGUCGAGCGAGGAACUUCGGUUCCUAGCGGCGGACGGGUGAGUAACACGUGGGUAACCUGGCUCAUAGAGGGGGAUAGCCUUCCGAAAGGGAGAUUAAUACCGCAUAAGAAGUGAGAAUCGCAUGGUUCUAGCUUUAAAGGAGUAAUCCGCUAUGAGAUGGGCCCGCGGCGCAUUAGCUAGUUGGUGAGGUAAAGGCUCACCAAGGCGACGAUGCGUAGCCGACCUGAGAGGGUGAUCGGCCACAUUGGAACUGAGACACGGUCCAGACUCCUACGGGAGGCAGCAGUGGGGAAUAUUGCACAAUGGGCGAAAGCCUGAUGCAGCAACGCCGCGUGAGUGAUGACGGCCUUCGGGUUGUAAAGCUCUGUCUUUGGGGACGAUAAUGACGGUACCCAAGGAGGAAGCCACGGCUAACUACGUGCCAGCAGCCGCGGUAAUACGUAGGUGGCAAGCGUUGUCCGGAUUUACUGGGCGUAAAGGGUGCGUAGGCGGACCUUUAAGUGAGAUGUGAAAUCCCCGAGCUUAACUUGGGGGCUGCAUUUCAUACUGGAGGUCUAGAGUGCAGGAGAGGAGAGUGGAAUUCCUAGUGUAGCGGUGAAAUGCGUAGAGAUUAGGAAGAACACCAGUGGCGAACGCGACUCUCUGGACUGUAACUGACGCUGAGGCACGAAAGCGUGUGGAGCAUACAGGAUUAGAUACCCCUGGUAGUCCACGCCGUAAACGAUGAAUACUAUGUGUAGGGGUUGUCAUGACCUCUGUGCCGUCGCAAACGCAUUAAGUAUUCCGCCCGGGGAGUACGGUCCCAAGAUUAAAACUCAAAGGAAUUGACGG